Molecule: small nucleolar RNA, 103 nt
Organism: Impatiens glandulifera
Lineage: Eukaryota; Viridiplantae; Streptophyta; Magnoliopsida; Ericales; Balsaminaceae
Source: RefSeq, a predicted model, not a curated record
AUGUAAGAUGUGUAUGUGCUGUAAAUAUGGACAAACAUUAGCAUGUAGGCUUUAGGUGGGAUUGCAUUAGAUUUGCAUUCUCAUAAAGGACCUACAAACAUGG